Molecule: ribosomal RNA, 253 nt
Filed under: uncultured bacterium
Lineage: Bacteria
Description: partial 16S ribosomal RNA
Rfam family: Bacterial small subunit ribosomal RNA
Source: RNAcentral
UACGUAGGGGGCAAGCGUUGUCCGGAAUUAUUGGGCGUAAAGAGCGCGUAGGCGGUCCGAUAAGUCGGCUGUGAAAGUCAAGGGCUCAACCCUUGAAAGCCGGCCGAUACUGUCGGACUAGAGUCCGGAAGAGGCGAGUGGAAUUCCCGGUGUAGCGGUGAAAUGCGCAGAUAUCAGGAAGAACACCCGUGGCUAAGGCGGCUCUCUAGUACGGUACUGACGCUGAGACGCGAAAGCGUGGGGAGCGAACAGG